This 252-nucleotide ribosomal RNA is filed under the name uncultured bacterium. RNAcentral's name for it is "partial 16S ribosomal RNA". It matches the Rfam family "Bacterial small subunit ribosomal RNA", at positions 524 to 776 of the family's 1533-position model. The record is from RNAcentral.
UAUGGAGGAUGCGAGCGUUAUCCGGAUUUAUUGGGUUUAAAGGGUGCGUAGGCGGACUGUCAAGUCAGCGGUAAAAUUGAGAGGCUCAACCUCUUCCCGCCGUUGAAACUGGUGGUCUUGAGUGGAUGAGAAGUACGAGGAAUGCGUGGUGUAGCGGUGAAAUGCAUAGAUAUCACGCAGAACUCCGAUUGCGAAGGCAGCGUACCGGCAUCCAACUGACGCUGAGGCACGAAAGCGUGGGGAUCAAACAGG